Molecule: ribosomal RNA, 497 nt
Filed under: uncultured bacterium
Lineage: Bacteria
Description: partial 16S ribosomal RNA
Rfam family: Bacterial small subunit ribosomal RNA
Source: RNAcentral
GAUGAACGCUGGCGGCGUGCCUAAUACAUGCAAGUCGAGCGAACAGACGCGGCGCUUGCUUCUCUGACGUUAGCGGCGGACGGGAGAGUAACACGUGGAUAACCUACCUAUAAGACUGGGAUAACUUCGGGAAACCGGAGCUAAUACCGGAUAAUAUAUUGAACCGCAUGGUUCAAUAGUGAAAGACGGUUUUGCUGUCACUUAUAGAUGGAUCCGCGCCGCAUUAGGUAGUUGGUAAGGUAACGGCUUACCAAGGCAACGAUGCGUAGCCGACCUGAGAGGGUGACCAGCCACACUGGAACGGAGACACGGCCCAGACUCCUACGGGAGGCAGCAGUGGGGAAUCUUCGGCAAAGGGCGAAAGCCUGACGGAGCAACGCCGCGUGAAUGAUGAAGGUCUUCGGAUCGUAAACUGCUGUUAUUAGGAAAGAACAAAUGUGGAAGUAACUAUGCACGUCUUGACGGUACCUAAUCAGAAAGCCACGGCUAACUACGUG